UACGUAGGGACCAAGCGUUGUUCGGAUUUACUGGGCGUAAAGGGCGCGUAGGCGGCGUGGUAAGUCACUUGUGAAAUCUCUGAGCUUAACUCAGAACGGCCAAGUGAUACUGCUGUGCUAGAGUGCAGAAGGGGCAAUCGGGAUUCUUGGUGUAGCGGUGAAAUGCGUAGAUAUCAAGAGGAACACCUGAGGUGAAGACGGGUUGCUGGGCUGACACUGACGCUGAGGCGCGAAAGCCAGGGGAGCAAACGGG
Molecule: ribosomal RNA, 253 nt
Filed under: uncultured bacterium
Lineage: Bacteria
Description: partial 16S ribosomal RNA
Rfam family: Bacterial small subunit ribosomal RNA
Source: RNAcentral